Long non-coding RNA from Sycon ciliatum, 654 nucleotides. RefSeq lists it as uncharacterized. The transcript is spliced from 3 exons. NCBI's taxonomy places the organism in Eukaryota, Metazoa, Porifera, Calcarea, Leucosolenida, Sycettidae. The record is from RefSeq and is a predicted model, not a curated record.
GCUCCUGUUUUGUCGGUAGUUGCGCCUGGUGCAGUGGUGGAUCGUUGGUUUCAGAUGUAUGUGCGUGUAGCUGAGUAAGAAACGAAAAAGGCCUUUUCAGAGAAACCUUUUCAAAGAGGACUUUUGUUUUUCCGAUUUUUACUAUGCCGUCUCACGUCUGCGUUCUGUGGCAAAGGAGAUAUUGCGGCCUCUAGCUCUGUGGUUAGACUUGAAAUUUCAACACUCUUGAAGCAGAAAUACAACAGUCCGUGUUGGAUUUUGGUUGAGUCACAAGAUUUUAGUGCGGGUUGACCCAGGUGCUUCCGGUGACGAACUGCUGUGGAGACAAGACGACGGCAACGCGACAGAGCACGUCUUCAUACAAGGAUAGAAGGUGUGAUGUCAUCUUCAUACAAAGAUAUAAAGUGUGAUGUCAUCUUCAUAAAAGGAAAGAAGGUUUGAUGUCAUCUUCAUGCACUCUAUGCCCGAGUCUGGUCCUUCGGGAUAUGUGCAGAUGUGUACCUGGUGCGGGAAGAACCUAUGAUCAAUGUGCUGGACUACCGCAGCAAACCAGUGAAGGUGUUUCCGAAGCCUCUGCGUCAUGCAUAUCCAACCGCCAUUUCAAUCUCCUUGCUGAUAUGAAGCUCAUAUAUUGGUGCCUCAGCUGUGUACGAA